Solenopsis invicta (red fire ant) is the source of this 4824-nucleotide RNA transcript. It is a transcript of the gene named protein arginine N-methyltransferase 5, with no coding region annotated. The transcript has 13 exons. The record is from RefSeq and is a predicted model, not a curated record. Lineage: Eukaryota; Metazoa; Arthropoda; Insecta; Hymenoptera; Formicidae.
UCUCUCUUUAUAUAGGACUCUACUCUGUAACGUUUGAAGCGCUAAGUGGACCGCAGCCUGAGACGCAUCCAUUGCGUGAAACAUAACCUUAUGCACAUUGUGCACGUGCAAUUUUAUUUAUUAAUCGAACUACAUUGAGCAUUAAAUCAUGGUCAUUUAAUAUGAUGUGUAAAAGGAAUUGAAAUCACAUUUAUUACUUAAUCUAUAAAUAUUUCCAAAACGGAAAGUAUAUCACUUAAUUAUAUAUAUUACAAUGACAAAUCAGCGACCAGUUUCUUGUGGGUUAGAUUUCUGCUGUGCUGCAAAUUUAAAGGACUGUUUAGUUUAUGCGCAUGAUUCACAAUAUGAUUUUAUUUGUGCCCCUUUGGUUCAUCCUUUAUUUAAAAGAGAAUUUAUCUCGGGUCCUGCCAAAAAUCGUGCAGGACCAUUUACUAGGCCUGACUUAAUUUUAGAUAGUUCAGAUUGGAAUAAUUUAAUAAUUGGAAAGUUUUCUCCAUUUAUCAAUGUUGAUUCGACUAAUCCCAUUGUUAGGAAAAAUAGCGAAGAAGCCUUGAAUCAGGAAUUAGGCUUAGCUAACCAUUUUGGUUUAUCAGGUGUGACUUUUAAAUUAAGAUGUGGAAUAAACAAAAAUGUGAAUCUUGCAAGGGUUAUUUCUGAUAAAAUAACAAAUAACAAUUGUACUUUCCAGGUAUGGAUACAAGUUCCUAUGGAGAAUCCAAUUAAACAAGCCUAUUCUUAUAGAACAGAGGAUUGUCCAGAAGAAGAAAAUCCAUGGGAAUGGUGGAAUUCUUUUAGAGUAAUAUGUGAUUAUAAUAAAAGAUUGGGAAUUGCAUUAAUUGUCAGUCUUGACUUGCCUGAUGAGGAUGAGAUUAAUAGAUGGCUCGGAGAACCAGUGAGAUGUUUGAUUAUGCCGACAACGUUAUUUGUAACAAAUAAAAAGGGAUAUCCAGUACUCUGUAAGGCACAUCAAGAAUUAGUAAAAAGAUUUGCUGCCUUAGAAGUACAAUUUAUUGUAACAGGCGCAUCACGUUACGAAACCAUUAGCUAUUAUUAUAGUUAUCUUGAUUAUCUGUGGAAGAAAUGUCAAAGUAAUGGAACAGUGGAAAAAUUUGCUCGAGGAUAUGAGGACUAUUUGCAAUGUCCAUUACAACCACUCGUGGAUAAUCUUGAGUCACAAACUUAUGAAAUAUUUGAGAAGGAUCCUGUAAAAUAUCGAGAAUAUCAGAGUGCUACAUAUAAAGCUAUUAAAGCAAUAAUAUCAAAGAUGGAGGAAAAACGAACAAUAGUUAUUAUGGUCGUUGGUGCUGGAAGAGGUCCGCUUGUAACCGCAUCUUUAAACGCCGCAGAAAUGGCGCAUCAGGAAGUGAAGAUAUACGCAGUGGAGAAGAAUCCUCAUGCCGUGAUAACUUUACAGACCCUUCAAAGAAAGAUCUGGAAAGAAAAAGUUACAGUGGUAUCAUGUGAUAUGAGAGAAUGGAAUCCUCCAGAAAAAGCUGAUAUUAUCAUCUCUGAAUUACUUGGGUCUUUUGGCGAUAAUGAAUUGUCUCCAGAAUGUUUAGAUAAUGUCCUUAAGUUCUUAAAAGAAGAUGGAAUUAACAUACCACAGUCAUAUACUUCAUACAUAGCUCCUAUGCAAUCCUCUAAAUUAUACAACGAAGUGAGACAGCUCAGAGAUAAAGAUAAACAUCCAUUAGCUCAUUUUGAGACUCCAUACGUAGUACAUCUUCAAAAUAAAUAUGAUAUAGCAAACCCAAAACCACUUUUUACAUUCAAACAUCCAAAUAUAGAUGCUGUUAUUGAUAAUUCGAGAUAUGAAACCAAAACUUUUCAAGUAGAUCAGAACUGCAUAUUACAUGGAUUUUCAGGAUACUUCUCAGCAAUUUUAUAUGAACAUAUUACAUUAAGCAUAGAACCUAGUACUUAUAGUCCAGAUAUGUUCAGUUGGUUUCCAAUCUUUUUUCCACUUAAGGAGCCUGUACAAUUAAAAGCAGGAGAUGAAAUAGUGGUUCAUUUUUGGCGCAGAUGUGACUCUAAAAAAGUGUGGUAUGAAUGGUGUCUCAGCAAACCCAUUCCCGUCUCAAUUCACAAUUCAACUGGACGUUUUUCCACUAUCGGAUUAUAAUGUAAUGAUUUUGUGAUUAUUUCUUGUUUAUUCAAGAAUUUCUCGCUAAACGUAUGCGAUGACGUAAUUAAGUUAUUAAGUAUUUAGUUGAAUUUUUUAACUAGAUACUUAAUAACAUAUUUUUUGAAUAUCCAAACAGUAUUCUAUAUCCGAAUAUUUUUAAUAUUAAUUUUAUUUCAAAUUUACGAGAUUUAUUUUAUGACAUUAACACUAACUAGCGCGAUUAAAAGCUUCAAUUUGAUAUAAAACUUGACGUAACGUAAAAUACGAAUUUUUUAUUUACAUAUAUAACGCAACAAGUAUUUUUAAAACAAUUGUUUAUUUCAAAAUGUUAUUGAAAUAUUUGUUUCACUUAGGCUUCAAAGGUACGUACUCAAACGUGUACUUUUUGUUACCCGCUAUUUAUUCAGUAUCAGGUAAUCAUUGAUAAUGCAAAAUGAUUAAUAAAGGAAAGUGUACUUGUAGUUGUAUUAAAGAUAUGAUAUGUGAAUAUUUCCUUGCAAACGGUUUUUUAUAUAAUACAACUGUGGAUCUCUUAUUAUGAAGCUGAUGUCUCAGGUCACUGAUAUUCAAUGAGGUCACUGAUAUGGUAGAAUUCUGAUAACAUGUGUUACGAGAUGUUCUCGAAACGUGCUGUUACUGUCCUCUUAAACUCACGUGAUUCGAAAAACAUUGUGUAAUUUCUACAUGUUAUAAGAUUAGCAUUGAUAAGGAAAAUAAUGCUACAAUACACAAAUAUAUAUACAUAUAUAUGUACACUUUGCAAUGAAUUUUUGCAUAUUAAUUUUUUUACAAAUGACUUGAAAUCUUUUACAUAAAUGCUUCCAAUUUAUUUAAUAAAACAAGCCUAAAAAAAUUGUCCUAUCAAAUCAUUUUGUAUGAAGCAAAAGUUAUCUUAGAUUUCAUUGUAUAACUAAAGCACAAGAAAAAACAAGAGAUACAUGUAAUAUUUAUAGAUGUAAUUUUAUUGCUAAUGAUUCAUGGGAUCAAUAUAGAAGAUACUAAAAGAAAGCAUUACCACUUAUAAGAAAUUCUUAUAUUUCUUCUCAUUUAACCUAUGUAGAUCCAGGGAACAUUUUAAUUAUAAAUAACUUUAAAUAGUAAAAGAGAAUUAAUCAAAUAAUAAAGUUUUAGGUAACAAAAUCUGUGAAAUAAAAUGAAACUCAAUGUAAAUUGAAAGUAAUUAUGCAAAAAUUAAUGGAAUUAAUCAAGCAAUUUAAUAUCUUCAUUAUUGUAAAAUGUAUGAGAAUGUGAUGUAAUAUAACAAAGUUUAGCUACAUUAAAAACGUAAUGCAACAAUUGCUUCUAUAUUAUCAGAAAUGGAUUAUAUUUGUAUUUUUGUCUAUAAGUAAAAACAUUGUAUGUGCAACUUUUCAAGUUAUUUUUGCAUUAUUUAAUCAUGUUCAAUUGGAGCAAAUCAUAUUUAAAAAUUGAGUCUGCUGAUCUCUAAUGUAAAAUUUGUAUACAUCAUUCCUUAUUUCAUUACAAAAUUGUAAAUUAUAAUUUAUGUCUACUCUCACAGUCUGAAAAUAUUCUCAAGAUUAUAAUUUAACAAGUAAUGUAUAUCUAAAUGUCAAUUGUUGCUAACGAUACUGGCUGAUAACAGAAAUAUAAAACUAACUUGAUUGCUUAAAGAUCGGAGGUCGCUUGGUAAUUGUACUUGCGAUUGUUCUAUGCUUGUACGCAAUUAACAUUUGUAUUUCAAGCUAAGGAAAAGAGGCUAAAAUUGGAAAAAAAAUUUAUUUUCACUAUUCCUGAUGAAGUUCCUGGUACACCUGGUUUAAAUAAAAGCAAGUUUUUUAAUUCAUCGAUUGAUCAAUCGCAUUGUGUAGCUUUUACAGAGCAAAGUUACAUUUGCGUAUAAUGUGGUUGAUCAACCAUUGAAUUAAAAAAAAAAAAAAACUCGUCAUAGUUGGAUCAUAUUUCCGAGACGCGAUAAGAGAGGGUAACCCGAUAACGGUCGAAACGUGCUCGCUAGAUCGUAACUUUGUCUCAUUAUUCGCUCCGUUUUACUCUCGCCGCGGGUCGCACGUCGUACGUCGCACGUCGUACAUUCGCGCGUGGCAUUCAGAGUGAGGUUAGGUUAUCUCGUGUACGAUCUCGCACGGUGAUCGCGACAACGAAGGAAAAAUGGCAAGAUUGAUCGUUCAGAUCAGCAAAUGUGCGGUAAAGACGCUCGCGGUCUCGCAUAGCGGUUUGCUCGGCACAGCCGCAAAAUCGAAAAUACCUCUCGCCAUGGCGCGAUCCAUAACCACAACUCGGUGCUUGCGAGAUGAGGAAUGCGGAGCUCUGGAAUCAGUGAAGGCAGCUUCGGAACUAAUAAGUCCGGUCAGCGGAAAAGUUACGGAGAAAAAUGAGGCGGUGGAAAAUAAACCCGCAUUAAUUAAUAAAUCUUGUUACAAAGAUGGUUGGCUAUUCAAAGUAGAGUUAAGCGAUCCAGACGAGCUCAAGAGUCUAAUGAAUGAGGAGGAUUAUAAUUCGUUUUUAAAAUCAGAUGCACAUUAAAUUUAUACUUACGCUAGAAAAUUUUUCUCUAACGUAGAAUUUGAAUCAAAUCAGUAAUAUCAAAAAUUGUAUGUUCUGUUUAAAGACACCACUCGAGAUUUCAAUGAUCUUAUUGAAACACUUGAAAGACAUUUUUACUAUAAUUGUUCGUACAAUAUGUUCACGUACGAUUUAAUUAAAACUUAUCCAAAAAUUAA